RNAcentral lists this unclassified non-coding RNA (240 nucleotides) under soil metagenome. RNAcentral describes it as "partial contains 5.8S ribosomal RNA, internal transcribed spacer 2, and large subunit ribosomal RNA". The record is from RNAcentral.
AACCUAGCACACCUGCGGUGUGUACCUGCGGAAGGAUCAUUAUAGAAUUGGUAGCUCUGCUACCUUAACUAUACUAUACUGUUCACAUUCCUGUUUCUUCCCCAUCACAUGGGCCCUCCGGUCUUGACUGGUUGUGCUCGAUGGGGAAAUUAUUUAAACAUAUUUUUGUAUUUAUUCUGUAUCAUUAUAAUAUUUAAUAUUAUAAAACUUUCAACAACGGAUCUCAGAUCGGAAGAGCAC